Ictalurus punctatus (channel catfish) is the source of this 1050-nucleotide long non-coding RNA. The record is from Ensembl. NCBI's taxonomy places the organism in Eukaryota, Metazoa, Chordata, Actinopteri, Siluriformes, Ictaluridae.
CGCGCACCCAUUUCCGCGCGCGGAAAGCUCGACUCGCUCUCAGCAGCACGCGAACCUUUCGCGCUGAGACAAACUGCCUCGGAGUGUAUGUGUGACACAGAGAGAGAGAGAGAGAGAGAGAGAGAGAGAGAGAGAUCUGGAAACAAACCCGGUGUGUUUUAGUUUAAAAGAAGAAGAGAAAAAAAAAAAACUCUAGAGGAGAUUCUGGAGCAGGUCGAAAUAUUUCCGCAAGAAGAAGAAGAAGGAGAAGAAGAAGAAGAAGAAGAAGAAGGAGGAGGAGGAGAAGACGGUUUGUUGUUUCUCCGCUAACACGGUUCAGAUGCGAGAGCAACGCGAGAUGCGUUUAACUGAGAGGGAGACGCACGUUGAACGACCCGUUUUAUUAGAGUUUGCUGAAAAUGAAUAAUGUUUUAUUAAAAUCCAAAGAUCGUGGCAUUCGACGGUGACGAAGAUUCCUCGGUUCGCUUACUAUGUCUCACGAAGAUUUUCGAACUCUAGAGGAUGUAACCAGAAUGCUGACGCAGCAAAUGGGGUUCAAAAACCUUCUGUCUGACGGUGUGUAUUCCUAAGCGAUUCAUGAAUACGGAAGGGAAGGUCGGGAAAACCAGUUAAAACCAGUUAAAACCAGUGCGUCUUUAAUAACGAAUUUGUUUUUUUUAUCCUGUGUGCUUUGUAGAAAAGUUACUUUUUGUCUCUGAUUUUUUUUUUUCCCCGCCUUAUCAAACAUGAUCAGACAUACAACUGAACUGUUUGUUUGUUUGUUUGUUUGUUUGUUUGUUUGUUUGUUUUUGAAAUUACUAGACGUUAAACUCGCACGCGCUCCCUAGCAUUAGCAAAUCUUCAGCUUAUAUAAACCAGAUACGAAAAAGAAAGCUCUGAAAUAAUUAACGAAGGAAACCGUAACCAUAAUUAAAUAAACUACAGUCAAUGAAUACUGACCAUUUGAAACACACGCACACACACGCGCGCGCACACACACACACGCGGACUAAUGCGGGUGAGUCAGCUAAUUUCUGAUGACGGACUGUAAUGACAAAAUGAGUCUAUGGG